GAUGAACGCUGGCGGCGUGCCUAAUACAUGCAAGUCGAGCGAACAGAUAAGGAGCUUUCUCCUUGGACGUUAGCGUCGGACGGGUGAGUAACACGUGGAUAACCUACCUAUAAGACAUGGAUAACUUCGGCGAACCGGAGUUAAUACCGGCUAACAUUUGCGGCCUCACGGUUCAAAAGUAAAAGAUGUGUUUGCUCUAACUAAUUGACGGAGCCGCGCCGUAUUAGCUAGUUGGUAAGGGAACGGCUUUCCAAGGCAACGAUACGUAGCCGACCUGAGAGGGGGACGGGCACCACUGGAACUGGGACCGGGCCCAGACUCCUACGGGAGGCACAGGGAGGGAAUCUCCGGCAUUGGGCAAAAGCCGGCCGGGGAACGCCCGGUGAAUGGAGGAAGGGUUCCGGCUCGUAAAACUCUGUAAUUAGGAAAGACCAAUCGUGUAAGUAAAUGGACACGUAUUGACGGUACCGAAUGAGAAAGCCACGGCUAACUACGUG
Molecule: ribosomal RNA, 497 nt
Filed under: uncultured bacterium
Lineage: Bacteria
Description: partial 16S ribosomal RNA
Rfam family: Bacterial small subunit ribosomal RNA
Source: RNAcentral